GACGAACGCUGGCGGCGUGCUUAACACAUGCAAGUCGAACGGAAAGGCCCCUUUGGGGGUCCUCGAGUGGCGAACGGGUGAGUAACACGUGCGUAACCUGCCCUUGACUUCGGGAUAACUUCAGGAAACUGGGGCUAAUACCGGAUAGGAAUCCUUGCUGCAUGGUGGGGGUUGGAAAGCUUCGGCGGGUUUGGAUGGACUCGCGGGUUAUCAGCUUGUUGGUGGGGUAGUGGCUUACCAAGGCGUUGACGGGUAGCCGGCCUGAGAGGGCGACCGGCCACAUUGGGACUGAGAGACGGCCCAGACUCCUACGGGAGGCAGCAGGGGGGAAGAUUGCACAAUGGGCGGAAGCCGGAUGCAGCAACGCCGCGUGCGGGAUGACGGCCUUCGGGUUGUAAACCGCUUUCAGCAGGGGCGAAGCUUGUGGUGACGGUACCUGCAGAAGAAGCACCGGCUAACUACGUG
This 465-nucleotide ribosomal RNA is filed under the name uncultured bacterium. Its description in RNAcentral is "partial 16S ribosomal RNA". It matches the Rfam family "Bacterial small subunit ribosomal RNA", at positions 28 to 507 of the family's 1533-position model. The record is from RNAcentral.